CUUGAAAGUAGACACAAACUCGGUAUUUUUAUAUUUAUAUACUCCAGAAAUCAUGUGGAUUGUGGAGUGGGUAAAUUUGCUUUCAUAUCUACGAAGCAAUUAGAGAAUCUGAAAUGGAAUAGAGAAGACUAAUAACAGGUAAAUACUUCAAAAUUAGGUCACAUUUAGAUAAUAACUUAACUUGCUGAAAAUAGCUUAUACACAUAUCCUUUUUAUAUUUAUGAUUAUGUUUUAUGAUAAAACUCAAAUGAAACCAUCCAAACACUGUCUUAAAUACCAAUGCUAUGAUAACUUGUUUUAUCUUUGUUUUGCUUGUAUAUGUAAUAUGUUUGAUUGACAUAAAAUACUCUCUCCGGUGACUAUUAUAAGCAAAAAAAUCCCCUUGUUAAGUUCAUUAUAAAACUGAUGUAUCUGACCUAUGAUAUACACGAGAUACAUGAGACAUCAGCUUUUCAAUGAACCUAAAAAGUUGUUUUUUGCUUAUAAGAGUGACCGGAGGGAUUACUCUCCGGUGACUAUUAUAAGCAAAAAAAUUCCAUUGUUAAGUUCAUUAAAAAACUGAUGUAUCUGACCUAUGAUAUACACGAGAUACAUGAGACAUCAGCUUUUCAAUGAACCUAAAAAGUUGUUUUUUGCUUAUAAGAGUGACCGGAGGGAUUACUAAAAUAUAAUGUUAAAUUGUCCCUCACGCUCAUGAUUGGACAUCUGAAGCGUAACCAGAGUGGUCCGAUAGCAGUGACUUGAUAAAUGGUGAUCCAACGGAUCUUAGACUUUGGUACCAUUUUAGAAUCUGAGUUGAACUUAAUUCAAUCAUUAUAAACAAUUGGCUGACCAUAUCUCAGCCAGUGUGAGUCUAUUAGCACAGUGAUAAGAGUCUGACCUUGUAACCUUAAGGGUAGGAAUUCAAAUCUUCUCGGAUAUGAUUGCAAAAUUGUCAUUUGUGCCAGGUUAAUUAAUAAUAUUUGUUCAUCCUCAAUUUUUAUACAAAUAAAAAGAUGCCUUGCACCAAAAUAAUUAAGCAUCUAAUCAAUCUAAUAACACUUUCAAUGAAUUGAAGCUGAAAAAUGGUAAAAAGCUAACGGUGUACAAAGACAAAGAAAAUCUUUUACCAGAAGUUUCUUUUGUAGUUAAGUGCUUGUAAACAAAAGCCAAAUUAAUAUUGACAGGAAAAUUGGCUUUGGUUUCAUAUAUACUAUCUUGCAUCUAACAAUGUUAUGGAAACUUCAUUAUUUGAAUGCAGCACAGUAGUUCCUGAUGAAGAUCCUAAUUGGUGUGGAUAAAAGGCUGGUUCCUUUGGCUUCGGCAAUGCUUUUUCACCAUUCAGCAUUAGAACUGCAGCUGACAUGUCGGGCCUGUCAUCAGGUCUCUCUUGCACACAUAAAAGCCCUAUCUGAAUACAUCUCAAUACUUCCGCUUCAGCUACAACAAUUGAAUCGCUUAGAGUUUCGUCUAUCAGCUUCAACGGCGUUGUUUCACACCACAUUCUCCAUGCCUAGAGGAAAUGAAAAUUAAGAUUGUGAGUUUUUCAGUUUACUUGUCAAUCAUUGUUGUCAAACUAAUAUUGUCAGAUAUAAAGCCGUGCUAUAGCGUAGCGGAAUUUUGACAAACUAAUAUUGUUUCACCAUACAUG
This 1630-nucleotide long non-coding RNA is filed under the name Trifolium pratense (red clover). RNAcentral describes it as "long non-coding RNA (TPRA_LNC004623)". The record is from RNAcentral. Lineage: Eukaryota; Viridiplantae; Streptophyta; Magnoliopsida; Fabales; Fabaceae.